Molecule: ribosomal RNA, 406 nt
Filed under: uncultured bacterium
Lineage: Bacteria
Description: partial 16S ribosomal RNA
Rfam family: Bacterial small subunit ribosomal RNA
Source: RNAcentral
AUUGAACGCUGGCGGCAGGCCUAACACAUGCAAGUCGAACGAGUGGCGGACGGGUGAGUAAUGUCUGGGAAACUGCCUGAUGGAGGGGGAUAACGACUGGAAACGGUAGCUAAUACCGCAUACCAUCAGAUGUGCCCAGAUGGGAGUAGCUAGUAGGUGGGGUAAUGGCUCACCUGGGCGACGAUCCCUAGAUGGUCUGAGAGGAUGACCAGCCACACUGGACCUGCGACACGGUCAAGACUCGUACGGGAGGCAGCAGUGGGGAAUAUUGCACAAUGGGCGCAAGCCUGAUGCAGCCAUGCCGCGUGUGUGAAGAAGGCCUUCGGGUUGUAAAGCACUUUCAGCGGGGAGGCGUUACCCGCAGAAGAAGCACCGGCUAACUCCGUGCCAGCAGCCGCGGUAAUAC